UGUACUCACCGCCCGUCACACCAUGGGAGUUGUGUUUGCCUUAAGUCAGGAUGCUAAAUUAGCUACUGCCCACGGCACACACAGCGACUGGGGUGAAGUCGUAACAAGGUAACCGUAGGUGAACCUGCGGUUGGAUCACCUCCUUUCUAGA
RNAcentral lists this ribosomal RNA (151 nucleotides) under Helicobacter pylori. RNAcentral describes it as "partial 16S ribosomal RNA". It matches the Rfam family "Bacterial small subunit ribosomal RNA", at positions 1382 to 1533 of the family's 1533-position model. The record is from RNAcentral. Lineage: Bacteria; Pseudomonadati; Campylobacterota; Epsilonproteobacteria; Campylobacterales; Helicobacteraceae.